This is a non-coding RNA of Megalopta genalis, 1405 nucleotides long. The record is from RefSeq and is a predicted model, not a curated record. NCBI's taxonomy places the organism in Eukaryota, Metazoa, Arthropoda, Insecta, Hymenoptera, Halictidae.
UUUUUUCGACACAUAAUCGAAGGAGCGCUAUUGCGCUCUUGGGCGCUUUUCGAUCCUGUAACAUAUAGUGCGCAAACGGUUAAUCGCUGCGACUGCUAACUUUUUUGUUCCGUGGCGAAUACUGUCUCGCACCGUGCGUCCCGGCCGCCCGAUUUUUCUCUUCCCGUUGAUCGUUGUAGAUAGCCGUUGCCGCGGAGCACGGUGGGUGGAGGUUAGAUAAAGAGAAAGCGGGCGACGCACGUGACGGUGAUUUUUACCGAUCACGAGGAACCGGCGAACGCGGUCUCGUGUCGGUUUCCCUCGUGGACGGUGCCCGAGAGGGGAUCGAGAAUGCAAAGGAAAGCCGUUUCUCUCCCUUCUCGGCGUGAAAUCGCCUGGAACGGGUCGCGCGGGACACGGUCCGUGACGGACGCGGUGACAAUCCCGGGAUCGGUUUUCAGAGAUUCUCGCGGAAAAGGCUCGCGACGCUCGAGAUCCGUCUUUCUGCGCGGGUGCGGCCAGAAAGGUCUUGGAAAUUUCCUGCCAGAAUUUCGCAGUCGAAUUCGCGAGGAUAACGAUGUCGCGGACCGUUCGGCGCGAUCGUCGUGCAAACGAGUUUCUCCCACGGCGUCUCGCAUCGACGAAACGCUGAGAGAAAGAACCGUUCGGUUCCCAGCUUCCGACUUUCGCCGUAAAACGACCGUCGAUCUUCAAGUCGAUAGUUCCAAUUUAAGGAACCUGAUCGGACAUCGAAGCCUGAAAUACCGGAAAAAAAACACAAAUAUCUACCACUGAUCUUUCGAGCAAAUCGGCUAAUUAUCGUUGGACUCUGUUGAAAUUUCGAGGAUAAUAGUUCAGAAAUAAAAUUUCGUUGGAACAACGACGAAAAUUCAGUCGGUCAAGAUAACAAAAAGGUACGAAAGAAUGUCGCUGCGUCUGCUCGAGUUAUCGGAGACGGGAAGAGCUUCCCUUUUGUUUCCCCGGAAUUCUCUAUCUGUUUUGUGAAUGUUCGCAGUUUAAUUGUGUUGCAAAAAAAGCGUGCUAUAGGCGGCCGAGGCUUUCUCCGAUCCGCCGUCUUCGAAUCGAACGCGCGAGCCACCGGGAGACGAGGCGAGGCAGCAAUAAUUCAGGGAAACGGGUACGAUCGGCGAGGAACAAGAGGAACGAGAAUGAGGGAAGCGAGAGAUUGUGCGUGUAUGCGUGUGAAAGUGGAAAUGAGAAAAAGUGAGCGAAAGGGACGUGAUUGAAUCGAGACGCGAGGGUUGCGAUGCCUGUACAUAGGAAAGAGACGAUAAAACGAGAACGGCGUUUGCGUUUGUGAUUAUUUAUGUUGCUGAACCGAAGCGGUUUCGAUAGUGAAUUAUUGUAACGAUUCGUAAUUUUAAAGUGAUGAGAUGAAAAUCGAGGGAACAGAGGGAGAAAGAGA